CGCCAUGGUGGUGCGGGUGGCCUCGGCCCGCUCGGUCCGGGCGGCCUCGCCCGCUUCGGUGCCGGCCGUGGCGU
RNAcentral lists this transfer RNA (74 nucleotides) under Methylobacterium frigidaeris. Its description in RNAcentral is "tRNA-Pro". The record is from RNAcentral. Lineage: Bacteria; Pseudomonadati; Pseudomonadota; Alphaproteobacteria; Hyphomicrobiales; Methylobacteriaceae.